AAAACAUGAAUGAAGGCAAUCAUCUGCAUGUUAUAAAACAAAAUGGUUAUGAACAAAAUGUAUGAACUGAAAGGAGCAAGCUAUUUUGUAUUUGAGAAACUGAAAAAUGCACGAACAAUUUUUCAGAAGAUAACUGAAAUUUUGUGCAUGCAUUUAGACAGGAAAACAAGGGCUUGUAGUAUACACAUUAAUUAGAACAGGAUCACAAGACACAAAUAUAAGCUAGAAUUGACAAGUACGCAUUAAUUUUAACAUAACAUCACUAGCUCUCCUGUUGUCUGCAUAUUAAACUAUAUUGGAAAAUGCUCAGGAGUGGGAUUUUUGUUGGAAGGGACUUACGAUGGCCACUGACUUGUUCUUGGGGGUUCUUCUGCUUGAACUCCACGCGGAACUCGCCCCUGACAAUAACCAACCAACAAACAACAAGUUCAGAACAACGGUCGCCCGGAAACCACGGGGAAACAGGAAGGUGGUAAACAUAAGGGCAGGUGAAACUAAUAAUUAACAUCACAUGAGAGAAAACAUAGAUUGACUAUAUAAGAACAGUAUAUUCAUUAGCAAAAGAUGCCGCUAGGACCUAUACAGAUUGACUGAACAGUAUAUUCCAACGCAAACACAUGACAACAAAAUCCUCUUCAAUUUAACAUGAGAUAUAUAAUACGCAAGUCACAUCUAGCAACCUGUCUAGACUCUGGACAUUAUUACAUAGAGCAUCCUCUUCAAAUUCCAAUCUUUCUCUUCUUCACAUAUACUCUGUACAACAUAAUAGACAAGCCAAGCAAAAUCUUCUAACUUGGUGGUAACAAGUGUACAUAUUUCAACUUUGAAUGCCUUCAGAUUAAUUAGCAACUACCCAGACGCAAGGAGAGGAGGAGAGCAUACCUCGGUUGCCGUCAACAGCCCAGCCGGGUCCUCUGUUCUACAAAUCUGCAGCUUGUCGCCGAGCUCCACUAGUCAGCCAUGGCACUCAGGAACCAGCUUCUGCUUCAGCCCCAGGCUGCAACAAACGCACACAC
This 1016-nucleotide long non-coding RNA is filed under the name Triticum aestivum (bread wheat). Its description in RNAcentral is "long non-coding RNA (TAES_LNC021173)". The record is from RNAcentral. Lineage: Eukaryota; Viridiplantae; Streptophyta; Magnoliopsida; Poales; Poaceae.